UUGCGCCAACCCUAGAGAUAGGGCGUUUCCUUCGGGAACGCAAUGACAGGUGGUGCAUGGUCGUCGUCAGCUCGUGUCGUGAGAUGUUGGGUUAAGUCCCGCAACGAGCGCAACCCUUGUUACUAGUUGCCAGCAUUAAGUUGGGCACUCUAGUGAGACUGCCGGUGACAAACCGGAGGAAGGUGGGGACGACGUCAGAUCAUCAUGCCCCUUAUGACCUGGGCUACACACGUGCUACAAUGGACGGUACAACGAGUCGCGAACUCGCGAGGGCAAGCAAAUCUCUUAAAACCGUUCUCAGUUCGGACUGCAGGCUGCAACUCGCCUGCACGAAGUCGGAAUCGCUAGUAAUCGCGGAUCAGCAUGCCGCGGUGAAUACGUUCCCGGGCCUUGUACACACCGCCCGUCACACCAUGAGAGUUUGUNACACCCAAAGUCGGU
Molecule: ribosomal RNA, 441 nt
Filed under: Limosilactobacillus mucosae
Lineage: Bacteria; Bacillati; Bacillota; Bacilli; Lactobacillales; Lactobacillaceae
Description: bacterial SSU rRNA
Rfam family: Bacterial small subunit ribosomal RNA
Source: RNAcentral